Molecule: long non-coding RNA, 237 nt
Filed under: Homo sapiens (human)
Lineage: Eukaryota; Metazoa; Chordata; Mammalia; Primates; Hominidae
Description: non-protein coding lnc-UGT8-8:1
Source: RNAcentral
AUCCAUGUCUCUGCCUUUUUUCUUAUUUUUCUUUCAUGUCUUGUCUUCCCUACCAUUCGUACCCUCUGCUGUCAAAGUCUGAUGCUGACUGUGGUCAGGCCACUUAUUUAUCCUAAAAGCUUAUCAAUUUAUCAAUUUCCACAGAAUAGUGCUUAAUCUCAUAGUUAAAAAAUCCAAAUUCCUAAGUGAUCUGACCCCAAUUUGCCUUCCCAAUUCUAUUUUUCACCACUCUAUUUA